GUCAUUUGGCUGCUCCAAGGGAACAGUUUUUAGUGUGUGUUUCCCUUUCCUGCUCCUUUUACGAGGUGGCUGUGUAGAAGAUCUGCUUUUUCAGGGAGCCUCCUCUUCAUCCAGGGAUUCAGAAGAGCUGUCUCCAGUAUCAUCUGCUUGUGUGGGCUGAUAAUCAGGAUCGUCUACUUGGUCAUCAUCACUUAGAUCACAAUCAGAUUCUUAAGGAUUUUCUGGUACAAGGGCGAGAAGAGUGCGUGGCUUUGCACCAUAGAAGGAUUUAGUGUCCCUCUAGUGGGAGAUGCUCUCUCCUGCUUCAGUC
This is a long non-coding RNA of Xiphophorus hellerii (green swordtail), 310 nucleotides long. RefSeq lists it as uncharacterized. The record is from RefSeq and is a predicted model, not a curated record. NCBI's taxonomy places the organism in Eukaryota, Metazoa, Chordata, Actinopteri, Cyprinodontiformes, Poeciliidae. The transcript has 3 exons.